CAGUAGCCGCGGGAAUACGAAGGGGGCUAGCGUUAAUCGGAGUUACUGGGCGUAAAGGGCGCGUAGGCGGUUAUAUAAGUGAGAUGUGAGAUCCCUGGGCUUAACCUAGGAACUGCAUCUUAUACUGUAUGGCUAGAGUAUUGUAGAGGGUAGUGGAAUUUCCGGUGUAGCGGUGAAAUGCGUAGAGAUCGGAAGGAACACCAGUGGCGAAGGCGGCUACCUGGACAAAUACUGACGCUGAGGCGCGAAAGCGUGGGGAGCAAACAGGAUUAGAUACCCGAGUAGUCCCUGUCUCUUAUAC
This 301-nucleotide ribosomal RNA is filed under the name uncultured bacterium. RNAcentral describes it as "partial 16S ribosomal RNA". It matches the Rfam family "Bacterial small subunit ribosomal RNA", at positions 509 to 807 of the family's 1533-position model. The record is from RNAcentral.